GGAACCUUGUUCAAGGACACACACUCCAGUGGGCUCUGCAGAGGAGCAGGGAAUCCUUUCAGAAAUGUAUAUGAAGCAAAAAGAUGAGAAUCUUUACUCCACCCAGCCAUCAAAGGUGGAGAAUCUGUCCCAAAAUUCCACAAACCUUCUACUCUUCCGAAAAUUGUGCCCACAAAGAUCAAAGAAGUUUGCCAGGAAAAGAUGGCACCAGUAUGUACCAGAAGAAAGAGGAUAUAUGAUUGAGAUCCAAGACUUACUUGGCCCAAACUUAGGUAUUCAGAAAGAGCCUCAAUUAAUCAUAAUAGAAGGGGCUGCUGGGGUUGGGAAGUCAACACUGGCCAGACAGGUGAGGAGAGCCUGGAAGGAAGGCCAGCUCUACAGGGAUCACUUCCAGCAUGUCUUCUUCUUCAGCUGCAGAGAGCUGGCCCAGCACAAGCAGCUGAGUCUGGCUGAGCUCAUAGCACAAGGCCAGGAAGUGCCCAUAGCUCCCAUCAGGCAAAUCCUGUCUCAGCCUGAGAAGCUACUCUUCAUCCUGGAUGGCAUAGAUGAGCCAGCAUGGGACUUGGAGGAACAGAAUCCUGAGCUAUGUCUACACUGGAGUAAAAUGCAGCCUGUGCACACACUGCUGGGAAGUUUGCUGGGGAAAUCCAUCCUUCCUGAGGCUUCCUUCUUGCUCACAGCUCGGACCACAGCACUAAAGAAAUCCAUUCUUUCCUUGAAGCAGCCAUGGCAGGUAGAAGUCCUAGGAUUCAAUAUGUUGGAACGGAAAAACUAUUUCUACAAAUAUUUUGCGAAGGAAAUAGAAGCAAUUGCUGCAUUUAGAUUGGUUAAAUCAAACCCAGUGCUCCUGACCCUGUGUGAGGUUCCCUGGGUGUGCUGGUUGGUCUGCUCUUGCCUGAAAAAGCAGAUGGAGCAGGGUGGAGUACUCUCACUGAACUCACAGACCACCACAGCCCUCUGCCUGAAAUACCUUUCCCUGACAACCCCAGGGCAGCAUAUGGGGACCCAGCUCAGAGCCCUCUGUUCAUUGGCUGCUGAAGGCAUCUGGAAAAGAAGGACCCUGUUCAGUGAGAGUGACCUCUGUAAGCAAGGGUUAGCAGAGGAUGCCAUUGCCACUUUCCUGGAGACUGGUGUCCUUCAAAAGCAGCCCAGUUCUCCGAGCUACAGCUUUGCCCACUUGUGCCUCCAGGAGUUCUUUGCAGCCAUGUCUUACAUCUUGGAGGAUAGUGAUGAAAGACAUGGUGAUGUGGAAUUCAAAAGAACCCUGAGAACACUGCUAAAAAUGUAUGGAAGGCAAAACCUGUUUGAGGCACCCACUGUGCGCUUUCUAUUUGGUCUUUUGAGUAAAGAGGGAUUGAAAGAAAUGCAAAAGGUCUUUUCCUGCCAGCUUCAUGGGAAGUCAAAGUUGAAUCUGAUAUGGUACAUCCUAGAGAAAUGGCAACCCCAUCAAACAUCUUGUCUGGGUUUGCUCCACUGUCUGUAUGAAAAUCGGAAUAUGAAGCUCCUGACACUCAUGAUGCAUGAUCAUCAAGGAACAAUAGUGCCUGGCCUAAAUCACAUUGCACACACAGUGUUGCAGACAAACUUGGAGCACCUGGUGAUACAGACAGACAUGGAUCUCAUGGUGGUCACUUUCUGCAUUCAGUUCUGCUAUCAUGUGAGGAGUCUACAGCUGAACAGAAAAGGGCAGCAGGGAUAUAAUUUAAUGUUCCCUGGGAUGGUUCUGUGA
This is an RNA transcript of Mus pahari (shrew mouse), 1729 nucleotides long. It is a transcript of the gene named NACHT, LRR and PYD domains-containing protein 1b allele 4 pseudogene, with no coding region annotated. The transcript has 2 exons. NCBI's taxonomy places the organism in Eukaryota, Metazoa, Chordata, Mammalia, Rodentia, Muridae. The record is from RefSeq and is a predicted model, not a curated record.